Molecule: ribosomal RNA, 253 nt
Filed under: uncultured bacterium
Lineage: Bacteria
Description: partial 16S ribosomal RNA
Rfam family: Bacterial small subunit ribosomal RNA
Source: RNAcentral
UACGGGGGGGGCAAGCGUUGUUCGGAAUUACUGGGCGUAAAGGGCUCGUAGGCGGCCAACUAAGUCGGACGUGAAAUCCCCAGGCUCAACCUGGGAACUGCGUCCGAUACUGGAUGGCUUGGAUUUGGGAGAGGGAUGCGGAAUUCCAGGUGUAGCGGUGAAAUGCGUAGAUAUCUGGAGGAACACCGGUGGCGAAGGCGGCGUUCUGGACUGCAACUGACACUGAUGAACGAAAGCCAGGGGAGCAAACGGG